UACGUAGGUGGCGAGCGUUGUUCGGAUUUAUUGGGCGUAAAGGGUCCGCAGGGGGUUUGCUAAGUCUGAUGUGAAAUCCCGGAGCUCAACUCCGGAACUGCAUUGGAGACUGGUAGACUAGAGUAUCGGAGAGGUAAGCGGAAUUCCAGGUGUAGCGGUGGAAUGCGUAGAUAUCUGGAAGAACACCGAAAGCGAAGGCAGCUUACUGGACGGUAACUGACCCUCAGGGACGAAAGCGUGGGGAUCAAACAGGAUUAGAUACCCUGGUAGUCCACGCUGUAAACGUUGUGAACUUGAUGUGGGGGGAUUUAGCCCCUUCCGUAUCGUAGCUAACGCGAUAAGUUCACCGCCUGGGGACUACGGCCGCAAGGCUAAA
Molecule: ribosomal RNA, 376 nt
Filed under: uncultured bacterium
Lineage: Bacteria
Description: bacterial SSU rRNA
Rfam family: Bacterial small subunit ribosomal RNA
Source: RNAcentral